RNAcentral lists this ribosomal RNA (492 nucleotides) under uncultured bacterium. RNAcentral describes it as "partial 16S ribosomal RNA". It matches the Rfam family "Bacterial small subunit ribosomal RNA", at positions 29 to 507 of the family's 1533-position model. The record is from RNAcentral.
AGUGAACGCUGGCGGUAGGCCUAACACAUGCAAGUCGAACGGCAGCACAGUAAGAGCUUGCUCUUACGGGUGGCGAGUGGCGGACGGGUGAGGAAUACAUCGGAAUCUACUUUUUCGUGGGGGAUAACGUCGGGAAACUUACGCUAAUACCGCAUACGACCUACGGGUGAAAGCAGGGGAUCUUCGGACCUUGCGCGAUUGAAUGAGCCGAUGUCGGAUUAGCUAGUUGGCGGGGUAAAGACCCACCAAGGCGACGAUCCGUAGCUGGUCUGAGAGGAUGAUCAGCCACACUGGAACUGAGACACGGUCCAGACUCCUACGGGAGGCAGCAGUGGGGAAUAUUGGACAAUGGGCGCAAGCCUGAUCCAGCCAUACCGCGUGGGUGAAGAAGGCCUUCGGGUUGUAAAGCCCUUUUGUUGGGAAAGAAAAGCAGCAGGUUAAUACCCCGCUGUUCUGACGGUACCCAAAGAAUAAGCACCGGCUAACUUCGUG